RNAcentral lists this ribosomal RNA (482 nucleotides) under uncultured bacterium. RNAcentral describes it as "partial 16S ribosomal RNA". It matches the Rfam family "Bacterial small subunit ribosomal RNA", at positions 30 to 507 of the family's 1533-position model. The record is from RNAcentral.
AUUGAACGCUGGCGGCAUGCUUUACACAUGCAAGUCGAACGGUAGCAGGCCGCAAGGUGCUGACGAGUGGCGAACGGGUGAGUAAUGCAUCGGAACGUGCCCAGUCGUGGGGGAUAACUACUCGAAAGAGUAGCUAAUACCGCAUACGAUCUAUGGAUGAAAGCGGGGGACCGUAAGGCCUCGCGCGAUUGGAGCGGCCGAUGUCAGAUUAGGUAGUUGGUGGGGUAAAGGCUCACCAAGCCAACGAUCUGUAGCUGGUCUGAGAGGACGACCAGCCACACUGGAACUGAGACACGGCCCAGACGCCUACGGGAGGCAGCAGUGGGGAAUUUUGGACAAUGGGCGCAAGCCUGAUCCAGCAAUGCCGCGUGCAGGAAGAAGGCCUUCGGGUUGUAAACUGCUUUUGUACGGAACGAAACGGCUCUGGUUAAUACCCGGGGCUAAUGACGGUACCGUAAGAAUAAGCACCGGCUAACUACGUG